Molecule: small nucleolar RNA, 82 nt
Organism: Aotus nancymaae (Ma's night monkey)
Lineage: Eukaryota; Metazoa; Chordata; Mammalia; Primates; Aotidae
Gene: SNORD115
Rfam family: Small nucleolar RNA SNORD115
About the family: HBII-52 is a member of the C/D class of snoRNAs, which contain the C (UGAUGA) and D (CUGA) box motifs. HBII-52 is encoded in a tandemly repeated array with another C/D snoRNA, HBII-85, in the Prader-Willi syndrome (PWS) region of chromosome 15.
Source: Ensembl
GGGUCAAUGAUGAGAACCUUAUAUUGUCCUGAAGAGAGGUGAUGACUUAAAAAUCGUGCUCAAUAGGAUUACUCUGAGGCCC